Long non-coding RNA from Gallus gallus (chicken), 2411 nucleotides. NCBI's taxonomy places the organism in Eukaryota, Metazoa, Chordata, Aves, Galliformes, Phasianidae. The record is from Ensembl.
GCUGAACUAUGACAGCGGUGAAGCUCACGAACCGUUUCAGCACAGCCUCCCCUGAACGCGCCGGGAGCGCUGCCUGUGCUGCCCAAAGACAGACGGCAAGAAAGCCCGAGCUCACCGCCGCCACCCGCGAGGUGAGGAGGUGCGGGGCGGACCCGACGGCUCCGCGUGAGGCGCUGCCAUGGCGGCCUGCCCGCCGGGAGCCGUUACCAGGGCAACGCGCGUGAGGGGCGCGAGUUCAAAACAGUGACAAAUCCGGUGUCCUCAGAAAACCUGUGCCCAAACAGACAGAGUAGGAGGACACCUCCCCAAGUGACCACUGAAGACCCCCACGCAAGUACGGAAGACUCAGGCAACAGAUUUGAAGGAGGAGGUGGAAUACAGAGCUUUGAUGAUGCCUUCUACAUUGACUGAUUCCUCCAGACAGACAUGUGGCAGUUAUGAUGGACAGGAACAUGUAAAUCUUCACUGAGUAUGAAUUAACAAUUAGAAAAUAAAGGAGUGAAACAAACAAGAGGAGAAGACAAAAAUGUAAGAAAAAUGAUACUGAUGUUAGUAGAAUUUAUUUCUGUAUUAUAUGUUGCCAUCAGGAGCAGUGAGGUGACUUCCCCAUUUGGGCCCCUCACUACCAGAAAUAUACAUUGCGGCCCUGGAGCAUGUCCAGAGAAAGGCAAUAAAACUGGUGAAGGGUCUGGAGCACAAGUCUUAUGAGGAACAACUGAGGGAACUGGGGUAGUUUAAUUCGGAGAAGAGGAGGCUCAGGGGAGACUUUAUAGGUCUUUACAGCUACCUGAAAGGAGGUUCUGGCAGGGUUGAAGUUAGCCUCUUCUCCCACAUAAUCAGCGGCAAGAUGAGAGGGAGUGGCCUCAAUUUGCACCAGGGGAGGUUCAGGUUGGAUAUUGGGAAAAACUUCUCCAAAAGAGUGGUCAGGUGCUGGAACAGGAUGUCCGGGAAGGUGGUGGAGUCACUGUCCUGGGGGUGUUCAAGAAAUGUUUAGAUGUUGUACUAAGGGACAUGGUUUAGUGGGGAAAUGGUGGUGGUAGGUGGAUGGUUGGAUUUGAUGAUCUUUGUCUUUUGAAAAAAUGCGUCAAGGGUGUAUUGUGAAAACUAAAUGUCAUGCACUAAGAAUGUACUGAAUUACAGCAGUCAGGAAGCCUACUGGGGUUUGUAGUCUCUGUAUUAGAACUGCCUGGUGCAGCCCAUCCCCAUCUGAUGUGAAAGAAGUUUCCCCAGUACACCACCUUCCUAUGACCAUGGCAGCUCACUCAGACCCAAAAAAUUAAAUAUACAUGAUAUCCAUAUCACUUAACAGAAAUCAGUUCCACAAGUUCAUAACGUAUCUUUUCUAUUUUAUUGAGUUUGUUUAUACUCUAGGUAUUAAAUUGGAGUCUCUGUUUAUCUCACAAGAUAGACCAAUUUUGAGCUUUUUCCAUUACUGUUAAAUUGCACAACGGGAAAGAAAUUUCUCAUUCUUUUAUUAAAAUCUGCACAUGGCAAUCUGAAUUCCUGGCACUAGAAAUAUUCUACAGAUCUUUUGUUUAGCAUUUUAGAAUUGCCAUUUUAGUAUAAACUUUGCUGCUACCUGUGAGGAAGAUAUUUUCAAGGAGCGGUGGCUGAGGAGCCAUGCCAGAAACAAGCAUCUAGGCUGACUGCCAUGGUUCUGAAAGCAAAUUUGUGAGGCCUCAGAUUUAGAGCUCCCUCACCCCUCAAUUCUUUUGUUGUAAAAGCUUUCCCAAAUUUUUCAGACAUUAGAUUUUUACUUUAAAGUACAAAGCACUGUGGCAAUAUAUUUUUUUUUUUUAAUAAUUAUGAGCCCACUUUAUAGCAUUUCUGAAGUGUAGGAUUUUAUUCCUGGUUUUUAGUAUGUGAUAAACUUCCCUGUCUUUCUGUUACAUUUAUCACUACUACCAGCACCAGUUGGUCAAACUGUGGUCUGCUGCAUUAGAAAAGAGCAUACUCUUUUAUCAGAUUUAUGGAAAAGAAUAAAUUUGUCUAUAAAGAGGCUGAGCUGAAGCUGAGAGUACAUUUAAUAUUAUCGUUUUUAUAGUCAACUGUGCUGCUGAAAGCAACAUUGUUCAUAGGUUCUGCUUCUGCAUGUGCCCUCCCUAGCUAUUUAAUAUUUGAUAAUGCAAUGCAGUUUUACAUAAAGGUGUAUAUUUCCCCUGCUCCAGACUUAAACUGUGUAUCGAUAUACUGAUUUGCUAAUAUGCAAUUCUGAUUUUGUAAAUGAUGUCGUAGGCUUCAUGGUAGUGAGACAGCAGGCCUGUGGUACUUAACUGUUUUAUCUGACAGCAGCACUAACAGUGAAACACUUCAGGAAUAAACAAGCUAUGGAUUCCUGAUUCAGAAAGACAACGUCUCAUGAAGUGAACUUUAGACUUACUCAAGAGCUUCUUGUUUCAAUCUACAUCACC